This 883-nucleotide ribosomal RNA is filed under the name Hodophilus foetens. RNAcentral describes it as "LSU rRNA". It matches the Rfam family "Eukaryotic large subunit ribosomal RNA", at positions 46 to 911 of the family's 3401-position model. Lineage: Eukaryota; Fungi; Basidiomycota; Agaricomycetes; Agaricales; Clavariaceae. The record is from RNAcentral.
AUAAGCGGAGGAAAAGAAACUAACAAGGAUUCCCCUAGUAACUGCGAGUGAAGAGGGAAGAGCUCAAAUUUAAAAUCUGGCGGUCUCUGGCUGUCCGAGUUGUAAAUUAGAGAAGUGUUAUCCGCUCAAGCCUGUGCAAAAGUCUCUUGGAAAAGGGCAUCAUAGAGGGUGACAAUCCCGUCUUUGGCACAGAUCACUUGCGCUUUUGUGAUGCGCUCUCGAUGAGUCGAGUUGUUUGGGAAUGCAGCUCUAAAUGGGUGGUAAAUUCCAUCUAAAGCUAAAUAUGGGCGAGAAACCGAUAGCGAACAAGUACCGUGAGGGAAAGAUGAAAAGCACUUUGAAAAGAGAGUCAAACAGUAUGUGAAAUUGUUGAAAGGGAAACGCUUGAAGUCAGUCGUAUCCUUCAGAAAUCAACCUGACCUUUGGCUGGGUGCAUUUUUUGUUGGAUGGGUCAGCAUCAAUUUUGAUCAUUGGAUAAAGGACUUGGGAAUGUGGCAUCUUUGGAUGUGUUAUAGCCUCUGUUUGUAUACAAUGAUUGGGAUUGAGGAACUCAGUGUGACUUUGGUUUGGAGGUAUUGCACCUCACACACGCACUUAGGAUGCUGGCAUAAUGGCUUUAAUCGACCCGUCUUGAAACACGGACCAAGGAGUCUAACAUGCAUGCGAGUGUUUGGGUGGAAAACUCAAGCGCGCAAUGAAAGUGAAAGUUGAGAACCCCUUUGGGGUGCAUCGACGCCCGGACUUGAUCUUUUGUGACGGACCUGCGGUAGAGCAUGUAUGUUGGGACCCGAAAGAUGGUGAACUAUGCCUGAAUAGGGUGAAGUCAGAGGAAACUCUGAUGGAAGCUCGUAGCGAUUCUGACGUGCAAAUCGAUCGUCAAAUU